CGCGGCCUAUCAGCUUGUUGGUGGGGUGAUGGCCUACCAAGGCGUCGACGGGUAGCCGGCCUGAGAGGGUGUCCGGCCACACUGGGACUGAGAUACGGCCCAGACUCCUACGGGAGGCAGCAGUGGGGAAUAUUGCACAAUGGGCGCAAGCCUGAUGCAGCGACGCCGCGUGGGGGAUGACGGCCUUCGGGUUGUAAACCUCUUUCAGCACAGACGAAGCGCAAGUGACGGUAUGUGCAGAAGAAGCACCGGCCAACUACGUGCCAGCAGCCGCGGUAAUACGUAGGGUGCGAGCGUUGUCCGGAAUUACUGGGCGUAAAGAGCUUGUAGGUGGUUUGUCGCGUUGUUCGUGAAAUCUCACGGCUUAACUGUGAGCGUGCGGGCGAUACGGGCAGACUAGAGUACUGCAGGGGAGACUGGAAUUCCUGGUGUAGCGGUGGAAUGCGCAGAUAUCAGGAGGAACACCGGUGGCGAAGGCGGCUUGCUGGGCCAGUUCUGACGCUGAGGAGCGAGAGCGUGGGGAGCGAACAGGAUUAGAUACCCUGGUAGUCCACGCUGUAAACGUUGGGCGCUAGGUGUGGGGGUCUUCCACGGUUCCUGUGCCGUAGCUAACGCAUUAAGCGCCCCGCCUGGGGAGUACGGA
This 643-nucleotide ribosomal RNA is filed under the name uncultured Mycobacterium sp. RNAcentral's name for it is "bacterial SSU rRNA". It matches the Rfam family "Bacterial small subunit ribosomal RNA", at positions 232 to 886 of the family's 1533-position model. Lineage: Bacteria; Bacillati; Actinomycetota; Actinomycetes; Mycobacteriales; Mycobacteriaceae. The record is from RNAcentral.